This 484-nucleotide ribosomal RNA is filed under the name uncultured bacterium. RNAcentral describes it as "partial 16S ribosomal RNA". It matches the Rfam family "Bacterial small subunit ribosomal RNA", at positions 30 to 507 of the family's 1533-position model. The record is from RNAcentral.
AUUGAACGCUGGCGGCAGGCCUAACACAUGCAAGUCGAGCGGAUGAAGGGAGCUUGCUCCUGGAUUCAGCGGCGGACGGGUGAGUAAUGCCUAGGAAUCUGCCUGGUAGUGGGGGAUAACGUCCGGAAACGGGCGCUAAUACCGCAUACGUCCUGAGGGAGGAAGUGGGGGAUCUUCGGACCUCACGCUAUCAGAUGAGCCUAGGUCGGAUUAGCUAGUUGGUGGGGUAAAGGCCUACCAAGGCGACGAUCCGUAACCGGUCUGAGAGGAUGAUCAGUCACACUGGAACUGAGACACGGUCCAGACUCCUACGGGAGGCAGCAGUGGGGAAUAUUGGACAAUGGGCGAAAGCCUGAUCCAGCCAUGCCGCGUGUGUGAAGAAGGUCUUCGGAUUGUAAAGCACUUUAAGUUGGGAGGAAGGGCAGUAAGUUAAUACCUUGCUGUUUUGACGUUACCAACAGAAUAAGCACCGGCUAACUUCGUG